AGUGAACGCUGGCGGUAGGCCUAACACAUGCAAGUCGAACGGCAGCACAGUAAGAGCUUGCUCUUACGGGUGGCGAGUGGCGGACGGGUGAGGAAUACAUCGGAAUCUACUUUCUCGUGGGGGAUAACGUAGGGAAACUUACGCUAAUACCGCAUACGACCUACGGGUGAAAGCAGGGGGUCUUCGGACCUUGCGCGAUUGAAUGAGCCGAUGUCGGAUUAGCUAGUUGGCGGGGUAAAGGCCCACCAAGGCGACGAUCCGUAGCUGGUCUGAGAGGAUGAUCAGCCACACUGGAACUGAGACACGGUCCAGACUCCUACGGGAGGCAGCAGUGGGGAAUAUUGGACAAUGGGCGCAAGCCUGAUCCAGCCAUACCGCGUGGGUGAAGAAGGCCUUCGGGUUGUAAAGCCCUUUUGUUGGGAAAGAAAAGCAGCAGGUUAAUACCCCGCUGUUCUGACGGUACCCAAAGAAUAAGCACCGGCUAACUUCGUG
Molecule: ribosomal RNA, 492 nt
Filed under: uncultured bacterium
Lineage: Bacteria
Description: partial 16S ribosomal RNA
Rfam family: Bacterial small subunit ribosomal RNA
Source: RNAcentral